This 486-nucleotide ribosomal RNA is filed under the name uncultured bacterium. Its description in RNAcentral is "bacterial SSU rRNA". It matches the Rfam family "Bacterial small subunit ribosomal RNA", at positions 28 to 507 of the family's 1533-position model. The record is from RNAcentral.
GAUGAACGCUAGCGGCAGGCUUAACACAUGCAAGUCGAGGGGCAGCGUGAGGGUUAGCAAUAACCCUUGACGGCGACCGGCGCAAGGGUGCGUAACGCGUGAGCAACUUGCCCUUAUCAGGGGGAUAACCGGUGGAAACGCCGACUAAUACCCCAUGGCAUCACAUAAAGGCAUCUUUUGUGAUUAAAGAAUUUCGGAUAAGGAUAGGCUCGCGUGACAUUAGCUAGACGGCGGGGUAACGGCCACCGUGGCUACGAUGUCUAGGGGUUCUGAGAGGAAGGUCCCCCACACUGGAACUGAGACACGGUCCAGACUCCUACGGGAGGCAGCAGUGAGGAAUAUUGGUCAAUGGCCGGAAGGCUGAACCAGCCAAGUAGCGUGAAGGAUGAAGGUUCUAUGGAUUGUAAACUUCUUUUAUACGGGAAUAAAACCUCCACGUGUGGGAGCUUGUAUGUACCGUAUGAAUAAGCAUCGGCUAACUCCGUG